AGCGGGAAGUAGUUUACUACUUUGCCGGCGAGCGGCGGACGGGUGAGUAAUGUCUGGGAAACUGCCUGAUGGAGGGGGAUAACUACUGGAAACGGUAGCUAAUACCGCAUAACGUCUUCGGACCAAAGUGGGGGACCUUCGGGCCUCACGCCAUCGGAUGUGCCCAGAUGGGAUUAGCUAGUAGGUGGGGUAAUGGCUCACCUAGGCGACGAUCCCUAGCUGGUCUGAGAGGAUGACCAGCCACACUGGAACUGAGACACGGUCCAGACUCCUACGGGAGGCAGCAGUGGGGAAUAUUGCACAAUGGGCGCAAGCCUGAUGCAGCCAUGCCGCGUGUGUGAAGAGGGCCUUCGGGUUGUAAAGCACUUUCAGCGAGGAGGAAGGCCAAUAACUUAAUACGUUGUUGGAUUGACGUUACUCGCAGAAGAAGCACCGGCUAACUCCGUGCCAGCAGCCGCGGUAAUACGGAGGGUGCAAGCGUUAAUCGGAAUUACUGGGCGUAAAGCGCACGCAGGCGGUUUGUUAAGUCAGAUGUGAAAUCCCCGCGCUUAACGUGGGAACUGCAUUUGAAACUGGCAAGCUAGAGUCUUGUAGAGGGGGGUAGAAUUCCAGGUGUAGCGGUGAAAUGCGUAGAGAUCUGGAGGAAUACCGGUGGCGAAGGCGGCCCCCUGGACAAAGACUGACGCUCAGGUGCGAAAGCGUGGGGAGCAAACA
This 714-nucleotide ribosomal RNA is filed under the name uncultured bacterium. RNAcentral's name for it is "bacterial SSU rRNA". It matches the Rfam family "Bacterial small subunit ribosomal RNA", at positions 65 to 774 of the family's 1533-position model. The record is from RNAcentral.